UACGUAGGGUGCAAGCGUUAAUCGGAAUUACUGGGCGUAAAGCGUGCGCAGGCGGUCUUGCGAGACAGGUGUGAAAUCCCCGGGCUUAACCUGGGAACUGCACUUGUGACUGCAAGGCUGGAGUACGGCAGAGGGGGAUGGAAUUCCGCGUGUAGCAGUGAAAUGCGUAGAUAUGCGGAGGAACACCGAUGGCUAAGGCAAUCCCCUGGGCCUGUACUGACGCUCAUGCACGAAAGCGUGGGGAGCAAACAGG
This 253-nucleotide ribosomal RNA is filed under the name uncultured bacterium. RNAcentral's name for it is "partial 16S ribosomal RNA". It matches the Rfam family "Bacterial small subunit ribosomal RNA", at positions 524 to 776 of the family's 1533-position model. The record is from RNAcentral.